AAAAAAAAUCAUGUGUGAUAAUAUGUAAGCCCAUAAUUUAAAAGAUUAUUUUAUAUGUUCCAAAUUUUUAAAAAUAAAAAACGAAAUUAGCAAGAAAGAUUUAACAAAGAACAAACGUAAGCGGUUAAAAUAUUACGACUACGGAUUACAAAUGUGUUUACUUACUAGAAAUGGAAAUACACGUGAGACAUUCAUAAUAUUAUACGCAAAGAAAGAGCAAAAUGAACCCUUGUUCGACUAACAAUGCUUUCACAUGAAACGGGGAAUUUUUUUUUUUGGGUUUUUUGGUAGAUGAAAUGGGGAAUUAAUGAUCAACAUAUAAGCAUUUAAUGUUAUUCCUAAUUUGAUUCUUGUUAUUG
This 359-nucleotide long non-coding RNA is filed under the name Malus domestica (apple). Its description in RNAcentral is "long non-coding RNA (MDOM_LNC015706)". Lineage: Eukaryota; Viridiplantae; Streptophyta; Magnoliopsida; Rosales; Rosaceae. The record is from RNAcentral.